Molecule: ribosomal RNA, 429 nt
Filed under: Chloroflexota bacterium
Lineage: Bacteria; Bacillati; Chloroflexota
Description: Chloroflexi bacterium partial 16S ribosomal RNA
Rfam family: Bacterial small subunit ribosomal RNA
Source: RNAcentral
UGGGGAAUAUUGCACAAUGGGCGCAAGCCUGAUGCAGCCAUGCCGCGUGUGUGAAGAAGGCCUUCGGGUUGUAAAGCACUUUCAGCGGAGAGGAAGGCGAUAAGGUUAAUAACCUUGUCGAUUGACGUUACCCGCAGAAGAAGCACCGGCUAACUCCGUGCCAGCAGCCGCGGUAAUACGGAGGGUGCAAGCGUUAAUCGGAAUUACUGGGCGUAAAGCGCACGCAGGCGGUCUGUCAAGUCGGAUGUGAAAUCCCCGGGCUCAACCUGGGAACUGCAUUCGAAACUGGCAGGCUAGAGUCUUGUAGAGGGGGGUAGAAUUCCAGGUGUAGCGGUGAAAUGCGUAGAGAUCUGGAGGAAUACCGGUGGCGAAGGCGGCCCCCUGGACAAAGACUGACGCUCAGGUGCGAAAGCGUGGGGAGCAAACAGG